CUACGGGCCGCUGCAGUGGGGAAUAUUGCACAAUGGAGGAAACUCUGAUGCAGCAACGCCGCAUGGAGGAUGACACUUUUCGGAGCGUAAACUCCUUUUAUAUAGGAAGAAGAUGACGGUACUAUAUGAAUAAGCGCCGGCUAACUCCGUGCCAGCAGCCGCGGUAAUACGGAGGGCGCAAGCGUUACUCGGAAUCACUGGGUGUAAAGAGCGUGUAGGCGGAUUAAAAAGUCAGAAGUGAAAUCCUAUAGCUUAACUAUAGAACUGCUUCUGAAACUCUUAAUCUAGAAUAUGGGAGAGGUAGAUGGAAUUUCUGGUGUAGGGGUAAAAUCCGUAGAGAUCAGAAGGAAUACCGAUUGCGAAGGCGAUCUACUAGAACAUUAUUGACGCUGAGACGCGAAAGCGUGGGGAGCAAACAGGAUUAGAUACCCCAGUAGUC
Molecule: ribosomal RNA, 439 nt
Filed under: uncultured bacterium
Lineage: Bacteria
Description: partial 16S ribosomal RNA
Rfam family: Bacterial small subunit ribosomal RNA
Source: RNAcentral